Molecule: ribosomal RNA, 467 nt
Filed under: uncultured bacterium
Lineage: Bacteria
Description: partial 16S ribosomal RNA
Rfam family: Bacterial small subunit ribosomal RNA
Source: RNAcentral
GAUGAACGCUGGCGGCGUGCUUAACACAUGCAAGUCGAACGGAAAGGCCCAAGCUUGCUUGGGUACUCGAGUGGCGAACGGGUGAGUAACACGUGGGUGAUCUGCCCUGCACUUCGGGAUAAGCCUGGGAAACUGGGUCUAAUACCGGAUAGGACCACUUCUUGGAUGUUGUGGUGGAAAGUUUUUUCGGUGUGGGAUGAGCUCGCGGCCUAUCAGCUUGUUGGUGGGGUAAUGGCCUACCAAGGCGUCGACGGGUAGCCGGCCUGAGAGGGUGUACGGCCACAUUGGGACUGAGAUACGGCCCAGACUCCUACGGGAGGGAGCAGUGGGGAAUAUUGCACAAUGGGCGCAAGCCUGAUGCAGCGACGCCGCGGGGGGGAAGACGGGCUUCGGGUUGUAAAAUCCUUUCGCUAGGGAAGAAGCGGUUUGUGACGGUACCUGGAGAAGAAGCACCGGCUAACUACGUG